UGCAAGUCGGGCGGAACGAUGGGAGCUUGCUCCCAGGCGUCGAGCGGCGAACGGGUGAGUAACGCGUAGGAAUCUGCCUGGUAGAGGGGGAUAGCUCGGGGAAACUCGAAUUAAUACCGCAUACGCCCUACGGGGGAAAGCAGGGGAUCUUCGGACCUUGCGCUAUCAGAUGAGCCUGCGUCGGAUUAGCUAGUUGGUGGGGUAAAGGCCCACCAAGGCGACGAUCCGUAACUGGUCUGAGAGGAUGAUCAGUCACACCGGAACUGAGACACGGUCCGGACUCCUACGGGAGGCAGCAGUGGGGAAUAUUGGACAAUGGGGGCAACCCUGAUCCAGCCAUGCCGCGUGUGUGAAGAAGGCCUUCGGGUUGUAAAGCACUUUAAGCAGGGAGGAAAGGGGCAGGACUAAUAAUCCUGUCAGUUGACGUUACCUGCAGAAUAAGCACCGGCUAACUUCGUGCCAGCAGCCGCGGUAAUACGAAGGGUGCAAGCGUUAAUCGGAAUUACUGGGCGUAAAGCGCGCGUAGGCGGUUUGGUUAGUUGGAUGUGAAAGCCCAGGGCUCAACCUUGGAACUGCAUCCAAUACUGCCAGGCUAGAGUACGGGAGAGGGGGGUAGAAUUCCACGUGUAGCGGUGAAAUGCGUAGAGAUGUGGAGGAAUACCGGUGGCGAAGGCGGCCCCCUGGAUCGAUACUGACGCUGAGGUGCGAAAGCGUGGGGAGCAAACAGGAUUAGAUACCCUGGUAGUCCACGCCGUAAACGAUGUCAACUAGCCGUUGGGAGCGUAAUGCUCUGAGUGGCGCAGCUAACGCACUAAGUUGACCGCCUGGGGAGUACGGUCGCAAGAUUAAAACUCAAAUGAAUUGACGGGGGCCCGCACAAGCGGUGGAGCAUGUG
RNAcentral lists this ribosomal RNA (895 nucleotides) under marine sponge bacterium PLATEmarine+(1)-26. RNAcentral's name for it is "bacterial SSU rRNA". It matches the Rfam family "Bacterial small subunit ribosomal RNA", at positions 56 to 943 of the family's 1533-position model. The record is from RNAcentral.